Molecule: ribosomal RNA, 260 nt
Filed under: uncultured bacterium
Lineage: Bacteria
Description: partial 16S ribosomal RNA
Rfam family: Bacterial small subunit ribosomal RNA
Source: RNAcentral
AUAAAAUUGUGCUUGCACGAUUUAAUACUUAGUGGCGGACGGGUGAGUAACGCGUAAGAAUCUACCUUUUGGCGAGGGACAACCACUGGAAACGGUGGCUAAUACCUCAUAUAACUGAGAAGUGAAAGAUGGAAAUCACCAAGAGAUGAGCUUGCGUCUGAUUAGCUAGUUGGUAAGGUAAUGGCUUACCAAGGCGACGAUCAGUAGCUGGUCUGAGAGGAUGAUCAGCCACACUGGGACUGAGACACGGCCCAGACUCC